This 1557-nucleotide ribosomal RNA is filed under the name Escherichia coli. RNAcentral's name for it is "bacterial LSU rRNA". It matches the Rfam family "Bacterial large subunit ribosomal RNA", at positions 1270 to 2812 of the family's 2925-position model. Lineage: Bacteria; Pseudomonadati; Pseudomonadota; Gammaproteobacteria; Enterobacterales; Enterobacteriaceae. The record is from RNAcentral.
AUGCUGGAGGUAUCAGAAGUGCGAAUGCUGACAUAAGUAACGAUAAAGCGGGUGAAAAGCCCGCUCGCCGGAAGACCAAGGGUUCCUGUCCAACGUUAAUCGGGGCAGGGUGAGUCGACCCCUAAGGCGAGGCCGAAAGGCGUAGUCGAUGGGAAACAGGUUAAUAUUCCUGUACUUGGUGUUACUGCGAAGGGGGGACGGAGAAGGCUAUGUUGGCCGGGCGACGGUUGUCCCGGUUUAAGCGUGUAGGCUGGUUUUCCAGGCAAAUCCGGAAAAUCAAGGCUGAGGCGUGAUGACGAGGCACUACGGUGCUGAAGCAACAAAUGCCCUGCUUCCAGGAAAAGCCUCUAAGCAUCAGGUAACAUCAAAUCGUACCCCAAACCGACACAGGUGGUCAGGUAGAGAAUACCAAGGCGCUUGAGAGAACUCGGGUGAAGGAACUAGGCAAAAUGGUGCCGUAACUUCGGGAGAAGGCACGCUGAUAUGUAGGUGAAGUCCCUCGCGGAUGGAGCUGAAAUCAGUCGAAGAUACCAGCUGGCUGCAACUGUUUAUUAAAAACACAGCACUGUGCAAACACGAAAGUGGACGUAUACGGUGUGACGCCUGCCCGGUGCCGGAAGGUUAAUUGAUGGGGUUAGCGCAAGCGAAGCUCUUGAUCGAAGCCCCGGUAAACGGCGGCCGUAACUAUAACGGUCCUAAGGUAGCGAAAUUCCUUGUCGGGUAAGUUCCGACCUGCACGAAUGGCGUAAUGAUGGCCAGGCUGUCUCCACCCGAGACUCAGUGAAAUUGAACUCGCUGUGAAGAUGCAGUGUACCCGCGGCAAGACGGAAAGACCCCGUGAACCUUUACUAUAGCUUGACACUGAACAUUGAGCCUUGAUGUGUAGGAUAGGUGGGAGGCUUUGAAGUGUGGACGCCAGUCUGCAUGGAGCCGACCUUGAAAUACCACCCUUUAAUGUUUGAUGUUCUAACGUUGACCCGUAAUCCGGGUUGCGGACAGUGUCUGGUGGGUAGUUUGACUGGGGCGGUCUCCUCCUAAAGAGUAACGGAGGAGCACGAAGGUUGGCUAAUCCUGGUCGGACAUCAGGAGGUUAGUGCAAUGGCAUAAGCCAGCUUGACUGCGAGCGUGACGGCGCGAGCAGGUGCGAAAGCAGGUCAUAGUGAUCCGGUGGUUCUGAAUGGAAGGGCCAUCGCUCAACGGAUAAAAGGUACUCCGGGGAUAACAGGCUGAUACCGCCCAAGAGUUCAUAUCGACGGCGGUGUUUGGCACCUCGAUGUCGGCUCAUCACAUCCUGGGGCUGAAGUAGGUCCCAAGGGUAUGGCUGUUCGCCAUUUAAAGUGGUACGCGAGCUGGGUUUAGAACGUCGUGAGACAGUUCGGUCCCUAUCUGCCGUGGGCGCUGGAGAACUGAGGGGGGCUGCUCCUAGUACGAGAGGACCGGAGUGGACGCAUCACUGGUGUUCGGGUUGUCAUGCCAAUGGCACUGCCCGGUAGCUAAAUGCGGAAGAGAUAAGUGCUGAAAGCAUCUAAGCACGAAACUUGCCCCGAGAUGAGUUCU